GACGAACGCUGGCGGCGUGCCUAAUACAUGCAAGUAGAACGCUGAAGGAGGAGCUUGCUUCUCUGGAUGAGUUGCGAACGGGUGAGUAACGCGUAGGUAACCUGCCUGGUAGCGGGGGAUAACUAUUGGAAACGAUAGCUAAUACCGCAUAAUAGCAGUUGUUGCAUGACAACUGUUUGAAAGGUGCAAUUGCACCACUACCAGAUGGACCUGCGUUGUAUUAGCUAGUUGGUGGGGUAACGGCUCACCAAGGCGACGAUACAUAGCCGACCUGAGAGGGUGAUCGGCCACACUGGGACUGAGACACGGCCCAGACUCCUACGGGAGGCAGCAGUAGGGAAUCUACGGCAAUGGACGGAAGUCUGACCGAGCAACGCCGCGUGAGUGAAGAAGGUUUUCGGAUCGUAAAGCUCUGUUGUAAGAGAAGAACGAGUGUGAGAGUGGAAAGUUCACACUGUGACGGUAUCUUACCAGAAAGGGACGGCUAACUACGUG
Molecule: ribosomal RNA, 495 nt
Filed under: uncultured bacterium
Lineage: Bacteria
Description: partial 16S ribosomal RNA
Rfam family: Bacterial small subunit ribosomal RNA
Source: RNAcentral